GUGACCAUGGUGUAGUGGUAACACAGCAGCCUGUGGCGCUGCUUUCUCGGGUUCGAAUCCCGAUGGUCACCCCA
Molecule: transfer RNA, 74 nt
Filed under: bacterium
Lineage: Bacteria
Description: tRNA-His
Rfam family: tRNA
About the family: Transfer RNA (tRNA) molecules are approximately 80 nucleotides in length. Their secondary structure includes four short double-helical elements and three loops (D, anti-codon, and T loops).
Source: RNAcentral